UACGAACGCUGGCGGCGUGCUUAACACAUGCAAGUCGAACGGAAAGGCCCUGCUUUUGUGGGGUGCUCGAGUGGCGAACGGGUGAGUAACACGUGAGUAACCUGCCCUUGACUUUGGGAUAACUUCAGGAAACUGGGGCUAAUACCGGAUAGGAGCUCCUGCUGCAUGGUGGGUGUUGGAAAGUUUCGGCGGUUGGGGAUGGACUCGCGGCUUAUCAGCUUGUUGGUGGGGUAGUGGCUUACCAAGGCUUUGACGGGUAGCCGGCCUGAGAGGGUGACCGGCCACAUUGGGACUGAGAUACGGCCCAGACUCCUACGGGAGGCAGCAGUGGGGAAUAUUGCACAAUGGGCGGAAGCCUGAUGCAGCAACGCCGCGUGCGGGAUGACGGCCUUCGGGUUGUAAACCGCUUUCGCCUGUGACGAAGCGUGAGUGACGGUAAUGGGUAAAGAAGCACCGGCUAACUACGUG
RNAcentral lists this ribosomal RNA (468 nucleotides) under uncultured bacterium. Its description in RNAcentral is "partial 16S ribosomal RNA". It matches the Rfam family "Bacterial small subunit ribosomal RNA", at positions 29 to 507 of the family's 1533-position model. The record is from RNAcentral.